CCUACGGGAGGCAGCAGUGAGGAAUAUUGGUCAAUGGCCGGAAGGCUGAACCAGCCAAGUCGCGUGAGGGACGACUGCCCUAUGGGUUUUAAACCUCUUUUAUAAGGGAAGAAUAAAUGCUACGUGUAGCAUGAUGCCUGUACCUUAUGAAUAAGCAUCGGCUAACUCCGUGCCAGCCGCCGCGGUAAUACGGAGGAUGCGAGGGUUAUCCGGAUUUCUUGGGUUUAAAGGGUGCGUAGGCGGGUUUUUAAGUUAGUGGUUAAACCUCGGGGCUUCACCUUGAUUUGCCAUUAAUACUGUAAGACUCGAGUUCAGACGAGGUAGGCGGAAUGAGUAAAGUAGCGGUGAAAUGCUUAGAUAUAACUUAGAACUCCGAUAGCGAAGGCAGCUUACCAGACUGCGACUGACGCUGAAGCACGAGAGCGUGGGUAGCGAACAGGAUUAGAUACCCGAGUAGUC
RNAcentral lists this ribosomal RNA (459 nucleotides) under uncultured bacterium. RNAcentral describes it as "partial 16S ribosomal RNA". It matches the Rfam family "Bacterial small subunit ribosomal RNA", at positions 338 to 795 of the family's 1533-position model. The record is from RNAcentral.